This 196-nucleotide ribosomal RNA is filed under the name Escherichia coli. Its description in RNAcentral is "partial 23S ribosomal RNA". It matches the Rfam family "Bacterial large subunit ribosomal RNA", at positions 2747 to 2925 of the family's 2925-position model. Lineage: Bacteria; Pseudomonadati; Pseudomonadota; Gammaproteobacteria; Enterobacterales; Enterobacteriaceae. The record is from RNAcentral.
AGCUAAAUGCGGAAGAGAUAAGUGCUGAAAGCAUCUAAGCACGAAACUUGCCCCGAGAUGAGUUCUCCCUGASWCYUURAGWSUCCUGAAGGAACGUUGAAGACGACGACGUUGAUAGGCCGGGUGUGUAAGCGCAGCGAUGCGUUGAGCUAACCGGUACUAAUGAACCGUGAGGCUUAACCUUACAACGCCGAAG